UUUUUUUUUUUCCCAAAAUUUCCAGAUCGUUCAACUCUUGCUAAGAUGAAUUGUUAAGUUUUUGUUUUGUAUUUCAUAAGAGUUGUAUUUUUGAACGAUUGAUCAUCAUCUACUAGACUUGAUACCACAUGAGAGGAUUUGUGUUGCUCUGAUGUAUCAUCAUCAUCAUCAAAAAGUUUGAAGAGAUAGGUGGCUAGCUUUAAGAUGUGAAGAAGGGAAUGAGCAAAUUAGGUCAGUUUUAUUAAUAACUAAUCUACCUUGUUUUAGUUAAAAAUAAGUGCUUGUUGUUUUCCUUUGUUGUAUUUUUUGUUUUUUUUAAUAAAAGGUGGUUAACAUAUGCGAGAUUUUUGCAAAUAUUUACUAAGAGAAUUCAAAAUGGCUAUGAAGGUCUACUAAUCUGUAAUGAAGAUGUUAACACAUGUGAGGUUUUUGUAAGAAAUUUUAAAAUGCCUAUGAAGGUGUUUUUUUAAGAAAACUCAAAUUUGCUUCAAUUUAAGGUUGUACUUGGACACUAUAUGUUUUUUUUUUAAUUUCCCAAGUCUUUCAUGUGUUAUCCCAUUUCAUUUACACCACUUGAAAUGAGAAUUUACAAAUUAGAAACAUGAAAAUGAUCAUAAUUAUUUACCUAUUUUUUAUGAUUGAAACAACUUCUUUAUAGAGCACAAAUUAAGAGUUAGGUCAAAAGUAUUAGAUCCACAAAUUUAAAGAAUCAAAUAAUAGAAAGUAAAACUUGUGUAAAAUGUAUAAAAGAAAAACUAUCUUUUAUUAAAAACCAUUUAUAAAAACAAAUUGCCCCUUUUUUAGACAAAACAAUAUGAAACUUGUGUUAAACUAGUAGAUGUCCCGCUCGCGUUGCGGGGCAAGGACCGAAUAAUUCUCAACCAAUUAAAACAAGAGUACUAUAAUUUUCCUAGGAAAAAAAAAUAAAAACGAUGAUAAGACCGUAGUAAACCAAUUAAAACAAAAAACCUUUAUAGUUUUGGUAAAAAAAAAUCUAAAACGAUGGGAAAAACGUAAUUUUUAACUGAGGGCCAAAUCAUAAUUUAAUUCGGGGAUAAAUUGUAAACUAAAUGGACCAACGGGGGAGUGCCAGGAAGUUGCCGGCACGACUGUAAUUUUACACUGGGGGCAAAAUUGUAAUGUCACCAGGAAAACAAACAAAAACGAUUGGGAAAAUGUAAAGUUAAGUUGAGGCUAAAAUCGUAACUUGGCUGUGAGAAAAAAAACUAACGGCAAAACUAUAAAUCUAUACGGGGCAAAAUCGUAAUUUUGAACCGAGAGCAAAAUCAAAAUUUUUAGCUGGGAGUAAAAGGGAAAUUUUUUUAAGUGGGGGUAAGAACAUAAUUUUGAACUGAUGGCAAAAUCGUAAUUUUAAGGGGAAAAAAACUAAUGGCAAAAGUGUAAAAUUAAACGGGGCAAAAUCGUAAUUUUUAACCGAUGGCGAAAUCGAAAUUUUUAGCUAAGAGUAAAAACGCAAAUUUAUUUUUUAGUGGGGACAAAAACAUAAUUUUAUACUGAUGGCAAAGUCGUAAUUUUAAGGCAGGACAAAAUCGUAAAUUUACUUGGCCAAUAAGGGAGUGCCAGGGCCUGCCGCCCAUUUCACCCAAUUGGGUGGCGGACCUAUUACCCGAUGAUGUCAUCAUCUUGAAAUUGUAUUUUGUUGAAUGAAUGUACACAAGGCAUUAUAAUUUUGAAAACCACUAAAAACAUCAAUUUACAUUUAAAAAAACAUGUAAACUUGUGUAAACAUGUAAAAUGAGAAAUUACCAUAUUUAUAGAAAACCUUAUCCAAAUGAAUCUUCUAUUAGUUUUUUAAGGUUAACAAAUACAUUAUUUGUCAUUCUGAUCCUGUUUAAAUAAAAAACAGAAAAUAUGAAUCUUUAAUUACAUGUUUAAAGAUCAAACUAUAAACUGAAAGAAAGAAAGAAAGUACACGAACUUUGGUUAACCUUUGAUUUAUCAUGUUCAGGGCAUCAUCUUCUAAACCUAUUUAAAUUAAGAACAAAAAAAUUUAACUUUUAAUUCCAACUUUAAAGAUGAGAUUAUAAACUGAAAGAAAGAAAAUACGUGAUUUGAGCUCGCCUUCAGUUCAUCAGGCUUCCACAUCAUCUUAUAAUCCUGUUUACAUAGAAGCAGAAAAUUUGAACUUUUUAAAUAUACAUGUUUAAAGAUGAUAUUUUAAACUAAGCACUAGUAAAAUGAGUGAAAAAAAGUACAUGAAUAUACGUUCACCUUCGGUUCACCAUUCUUCACCAUCAUCUCCGUGUCCUUUUUAGACCAAAUUACAAAAGUUCUUUUGUUAAGAGUGUCAAAGCUAAAGUGUAAUAUGAUGAAAAGAGUACCUUGGCCGACUGAUUUGUGCUUUUUUAUGAUGAUCUUCCAUUUAGACAGCAGAGGUAAUGUUUCUUUAACCCCAUAAACCUCUUUAUAUACUUGAUAAUAUGAUCCACUACUGAAGGGGUAUGGUCCCAAAAACCCUGCGCAAGCGCAUAAGACCAUACCCUAACUUCAUUCCAAAGAACAUCUCAAACAGAACCUUGCGCGGCUGCGCAACGGUUCUAAACAAAAUCUGGGAAUAACAGUCUUCGAGGACCAUGCGCCAGAAGAAAAGAGACAAAUAUUUAACUAAACACCUUUGCGCGGGCUUGCGCAAGGGUACAGUUAAGCUUGAAGAUGAACUCCUGAACAUCUCCACGUACCCGAAAUCAAGACUUAAACAAAGGAAUCUUUUCUAUUAUAACAGAAUGGACAUAUGGCAAAGGCAUGGAGGUUUACUGCUGUAGAUCUUCUAAAAGGAUUUUUAAUGCUCAUCGUGCAUGGCCAUUCGGUUACAACCGAUUGUGACGUGGCAUGAUCAUAGGCGCUCAUCUAAUCACGAUGAUGGUAAUCUCUUGAAGAUGGAUCUAUACAAAACCACUAUUCACGUGGCAUCUCACCAGCCGUUGAUCAAACUCACAAUCCAUGUGCAUGGAUGUGAAGUUAACUAUUUACGUAAAAGUGGAAUAACCACUAACGGAAAAGUGCUUUCUGUCAGCUCUCCAUUACACCAUUUUCCCGCCAAAAACCGGUUAUAAAUAAGGUACUGCAGGUAUGAUCUCACAAGUUACACUUCACCUACUCACUCUUACUACUUUACCUUCUUCUUUGAGAUCACUGUACUUAUUCUCACGCCGGAGGGUGGUCACAGAGAGAACCCCCAUUCUCCCCGUGGCGAGUCUAACGGCUUCCUGUUUUGCAGUUAUCACCAGAGAAGGAAACUAGCCAAACCCCUGAAUCAACAGGAGGAUUAACCCCUUUUAUGCAAAGACUAAACCCUGAUCUGAUUGACUCCGGUCCAAUUAGAUCACUGUUUUUCAACUACCCUAUUUUAUACGAGCCAAGUUAAAAAAUCGUGGGACAGUUUUAUCAUUUUUUGGCGCCUUCAAAGUUCAAAAUAUGUAUUAUUUUAAAUGGUUUUAAAGCUUCCAUUUAUUUCAGGAGCCGACAUUUUUUUUUCCAAAUUGUAAUUGUAACAUGUUUUUUAUAUGCAUCUUCUUUCUGUUUAUCGUUAUAAAAUAUUACCUUUUAAUUUUAAAUUUGUAAGUAGAACUGUUGGUAACUGAAACCUGGAGGUUUUUUGAAUUCUGGUAGUUUUUUAGUAAUUAGAUCAUGG
Helianthus annuus (common sunflower) is the source of this 3652-nucleotide long non-coding RNA. RefSeq lists it as uncharacterized. The record is from RefSeq and is a predicted model, not a curated record. NCBI's taxonomy places the organism in Eukaryota, Viridiplantae, Streptophyta, Magnoliopsida, Asterales, Asteraceae. The transcript is spliced from 3 exons.